Long non-coding RNA from Camelus dromedarius (Arabian camel), 5149 nucleotides. RefSeq lists it as uncharacterized. NCBI's taxonomy places the organism in Eukaryota, Metazoa, Chordata, Mammalia, Artiodactyla, Camelidae. The record is from RefSeq and is a predicted model, not a curated record. The transcript has 6 exons.
GCUGUGUUGCCAGACCUUUUGAUUGCUCAGUCGCUCAGGAAGACAGAAGUGCAGGCCUGUGUUUCUGUUUUUGUGAAGUAUUCUGAUUUGUGAAUGUUGACAACUAAUUCAGUUUUUAGAAAAACGCCAUAAGGAUCAAUUAAAGCCCACUCAUGGGGCUAUUCUACCUGUCCUGUGAAGCUGAUGGAAGCAGGCAUCCGUACCAGAGGGAAAAAUAGUGGAAAAGUGACUUUCCUGGUGUGGCUUUUCCUCGCAUCAGCGUGGUUUGACCUGAGAACUCGAUUGGUGCUUUGAUUCUGAUUCAGCCAGAGUGAGCCCUAUCCAUGACUCAAGCCACUUCACUGAGUUUGACGAUGGGGUUUGGGGCCAAAAUGCCAGCCACAGCACCACUUCACCUCCAGUGAUAACUUCCCUCACACUGGAAUACACAAAGGCUGCAGAGGUUCCAAAGAGAUCACGUGCUACGCGAGGAUCUGACAAGAUGGCGUGGUUCUGGAAUGAGCAGCAUGAGAGGAUGGCCUCGGGACCAGAUGCUGCUGGAGGCAAACCCGAUGAUCCAGUGUGGGUACCACAAGCCUCCUGCAUUUCUCCUACCAGGAAAGUCGUGAGUAAAGAGAAGUUUGGUAAAUCAACUCAGUGGUCCUAGCAACCUCCAUGACCAUUUCCAAUUGCUUCAUCUUUAGCUGACAGCACUUCUUACCUAACUUAGCCCAUAGCAUUUCUGUAAAGGAAGGUGAUGAGCUGUAAAUAAACUCUUAAAUGCACCCUGGGAGUACAUGGCUUACAGAAAUCCUUCUUUUAAAUAACAAUCUAUCUUUUUUUUUUUUUUUCCUGUUUCUUCCUAUUGCCCCAGCAGAAACAUGGGUUCACCUAGAAGCAGACCUUGAGAUGUGGGUUUAAGUACAAAUGGUUUAUUAGGGAGAUCAUGCCAGAAAACAACAGCACGAGAGUGGGAAGUGAUACUGGGAAGGGAAGGAAGUCAGUACAAGAUACGUCCUCGAGCAGGUUACUGCUGCGGGCAAGUGGGGCUCAAUCCUGCUGGGGAAUCUCUGGGAGACACCUCAGAUUUGUACCACCCGAGGGUGAGGAAGCUGGGGUAUUUAUAUACUGGCUGUAUCAGUCACUGGUGAAAGGCUGCUUGUGGGGAGGGGGUUGGUAAUAAUUUCCUAGCACUCUACCUUCUAAAUGGGUAGGGACUACUGAAAUCCAAGAAAGUUCUUGGAUAGUAAAUGCUGGCAGUUGGAAGGCAAGCCAAAUGAAAUGGCACGGGCAGGACAUCGACCAUCUGCUACACUUCGCUUCUCCGAGUAUGUUAUGUGUGAGGAGGUAGACUCCCCCUUGCACCCAAGAGUCACUAAAACAAUUUUUUUGGUAAGUGUUUUCUGUGUGCAUUUUCUUCAAAUCAAAAAAGGCUUUUAGAGACUUAUAAUUAGGAAAGUGAAGUCUUUCCUUCAAAAUAUUUUCUUUCUGCAGAAAUAAUAGGAAAUGGAACCGGUGGCCACAGCCAAUAGAUUAAUAUUGAGCCUUUUCAGAAUGCUCCCAUUCAUCAUUUUCAGUGAAUGGAUGAUAUAGAAGUAAACAUACAGCCUUUAUUCUUGAGAUUUGCUUUUAUGCCACCAUCAGUGGAUUUCCAUGCUUAGCAAAAUCUUGCCUCCUAGCUGCUUUUUGAAAGUGCCUGCAACAAGGAACCCUAGUACUGUGUUGGUGGGAAUGUAAAUUGCUGCAGCCAUAAUGGGGAAUAGCAUGGAGUUUCCUUAAACUAAAAUCUGAGUUACCAUAUGAUCCUGCGAUACGACUCCUGGGCACAUAUCCAGAGAAAACUCUAAUGCAAAAAGAUACAUGCACCCCAGUGUUCAUAGCAGCACUAGUUACACUAGCCAAGACAUGGAAGCAACCUAAAUGUCCAUCCACAGAUGACUGGAUAAAGAAGAUGUGAAAUUUUAUAUACACACAAACACACACAGUGGAAUAUCACUCAGCCUUAAAAAAUGAAAUAAUGCCAUCUGCAGAAACAUGGAUGGACCUAGAGAUAAUCAUAGUAAGUGAAGUCAGACAGAGAAAGACAAAUAGUAUGUGAUAUCACUUAUGUGUGGAAUCUAAAAAAAUUAUGCAAAUGAACUUACAAAACAGAAACAGACUCACAGACAUAGAAAACAAACUUAUGGCUACCAAAGGUGAAAGCAGGGAAGACAGGAAGGAUAAAUUGAAAGUUUGGGAUUCACGUACACAUACUACUAUAUAUAAAAUAAAUGACAAGGACCUACUGUAUAGCACAGGGAAUGAUAUUCAGUAUCUUGUAUAACCUAUAAUGGAAAAGAAUCUUAAAAAGAAUUGCUGUACGAAACUAACACAACAUUGUAAAUUAACUAUACUUCAGUUAAAAACCAAACCCAACAGGCUGUAAACAUGGCAUCAGCUUGUGAUGUGCUGCUGUCAUUGCAGUGCUGAAGUUCCAAAAAGAAAGUGUUGGCACAUCCCUGGGUACCUCGUAGACUAUGGUGUGGCAGACCUACCACUUGUAACUUGCCCAAGUAGGCAGGGGCCAAACAGAGGUAUGUGAUGGUGUCCUUUAUUCACAGGUACCAGCUCCUGAAAACUGAAAAGCAUGAUUAAACCCAGCCAUCUUAAAUCCCCAUGACAUAGCUUGGAGGCCCUGGAACCUCGUGUUCCUGGCAAAUCCGGCUGCUGUCUUUAUCCCUAAUGGCCCUCUGGCAGCUGAGCCAAUCAUGGCCUGGUUGGUGUCCUAUUGUUUUGAGGGUUGAUGAGUCUGUGAGUUCCUAACAUAGCUUCAGAGGGGAAUCUUGGUGAUGUGGAGAAUUAAGCUCAUGGAGUCUCUACUUGCACAUAGUUGCCACAAAAGAAUGGAGCUGACCUUUCCUUGAGAGGCAUGCUACGCUGGUGGACUGGCAUCUUGGCAAAAUGGAACCCAGAUCAGUUCUAUGUCCCAUCUGCCUCAGUGGUAGCCUGUAUCUGGAUCAGAUCCACUGACCAUUUCUCCUUUGACUCCUAAUUCUAGUCCCUGAUAGGUAAUUUGGGAGGCUUCAGAGCUAGAAAAACACUUAAAGAUCAUCCCGCCAACCUGUCUAUUUUACUGAUAAGGACCCUGCAUUCCAGCGAGGCUAAGUCAUUUGCCCUGAGUCCAACGGGAGACAAGAGGGGGGCUGUGGGGAGAGAGAGCCAGUCUUUUCUCACUGCCCAUGAAGCUAGUAAGUUAAAGCAGCAGGAUUUCUCACUGGAUUCAGGAGAAGUAAAUGAUUCGUGCCACAGAAUUUUUUGAACACCUGCUCAAGACAGUCCAAAGCACUGUGGGUCCAAGAAUGAGACCCGGUUCCCUUGGGGCUCCUACACGUUCUCCCCCUGUUCUCUUGAACUGUCUGCUUCAGCUCCUUGCUUCCCAGCUCUCUUCCCCUAUCUUCACUCCCAAUUCAUCCCCCAUCUCCCAGCCUGUUUUCUCAAUUUUCUUUUUUCUUUCUUUCCUUUUUUUUUUGGUGCUGAAACCCAGGAACUAUUUUCUCUCUUUUCUUACAGUCUAUGUCCUUCGUUCCAACUCCCCAAUUCCCUUCCCCCACCUUUCCCUGUUCUUAGUCUACCAGGUUUUCUUUCUCUCCUCUGUUAUUUUAUUUCUCCUCCUCCUAUUUAUCUAUCACCUCCCUUAAGCUCCCCCCAGUUGCCCCUUCCUAGGCACCCUUGCUCUCCCCUCUCCCAUCUUGAAUCCCGGAAGCAUCCUUGGUUAUCAUGGCAGGCAGCCUCUGAGAUGGCCAGUGGUCCCCACCUCCUUUCCCUCAUGGAAUCCCUUCACUUUCGGUAUGGGCUGGACCUUGUAACUCUAUUCUGACAAAUAAAAUAUGACCCAGAUGAUGGGCUAUCACUUCUAAGCUUAGUUUAAAAAAGGCUGUGGCUUCCAUCUUAGGUGCUCUUUGGCUCUGAGGAAGCCAGCUGCCAUGCUUACUGGCCUACUGAGUGGUCCACACAGCAAGGAACUGAAAUCUCCAGCCAACAGCCAAUGAGGACCUGAGGUCUGCUAACCACCACGUAUCUCCGGUUUUCUGCCUGGCUCAGUGUUUCUCCAACCUGGCUGUGCAUGAGAAUAACCCAAGGAGUUUAUGGGAAAGAUCCCCGCUUGGACUCCAUCCCAGGUGUAUUAGUUUGCUCCGGUUGCCAUAACAAAAUACCACACACUGGGUGACUUAAACAAUAGCAAUUUAUUUACUCAUAGUUCUGGAGGCUAGAAGUCCAAGAUCAAGGUGCUGUCAGGGUUGGUUCCUGGUGCAGCCUCUUCUAGGGUUUGCAGAUGGCCACCUUCCUCCUCAUGACCCCACAUGGCCUUUUCUCUGUGCAUGUACUGGGAGAGGGCUCCAGAGAGCUCUGGUGUCUCUCUUCUUAUAAGGACACCAGUCCUAUCAGAUGAGGGCUCCACUCUAUGACCAUCUAGCCUUAAUUACCCCCUUAAAGGCCUUAUCUCCAAAUACAGUCACAUUGCAGGUUAGGGCUUCAACAUAUGAAUUUGCAGGGGAACACAGUUCAGUCCUGUGAUACUGUGAUUUAUAAUAAGAAAUAUAGAUUUGGUCUUCACUCACUGUUCCUGGCACACGGUUUCCAAAACCUUUGUGAAGAGCCAUAGAGGCAUCUUUUGUUACAUUAUGAAGUUUCCAUCUCAGUUCUUGAAAUAGCUUCAGCACUUAAAGGUGAAAUGGGUGUCUUUUGUUAUUCAUAACAAGCCCCUUUCAACUACACUGAGUUUAUGUUAAUGAGGUGAAUUUGGAAAGCCUCUAAGGAGGGGGGCUGGUUGCCAGGGGAGCCAACCACAAUUAGAGGGUUGGAAUUUCUAGUCUCACAUCCCAGGCCCCCACCCCCAUCUCUGGGAAGGGGAGAGGGGCUGGAGAUUGAGUUCAGUCACCAAUGACCUAUACACCAAUGUAACACAGCUAUGUAAUGAGCCCUCUAUAAAAACCCAAAAGGAUGGGGUUUGGAGAGCUUCCAGGUUGAUAAACAAGUAUGCAUCCACGUGCUGGGAGGGUGGCACACCCUGAACUCCACUGGGACAGAAGCUCCUGUGCUCAGGACCCUUCCAGACCUCACCCUAUGUAUCUCUCCAUCUGAUUGUAUCCUUUAAUGCCCUUUGUAAUAAACUUGUAAUCAAGUGAGUUAA